GGAUGAACGCUAGCGACAGGCUUAACACAUGCAAGUCGAGGGGCAGCACAGGUAGCAAUACCGGGUGGCGACCGGCGCACGGGUGAGUAACGCGUAUGCAACUUACCUAUCAGAGGGGGAUAACCCGGCGAAAGUCGGACUAAUACCGCAUGAAGCAGGGGCCCCGCAUGGGGAUAUUUGCCAAAGAUUCAUCGCUGAUAGAUAGGCAUGCGUUCCAUUAGGCAGUUGGCGGGGUAACGGCCCACCAAACCGACGAUGGAUAGGGGUUCUGAGAGGAAGGUCCCCCACAUUGGUACUGAGACACGGACCAAACUCCUACGGGAGGCAGCAGUGAGGAAUAUUGGUCAAUGGCCGAGAGGCUGAACCAGCCAAGUCGCGUGAGGGAUGAAGGUUCUAUGGAUCGUAAACCUCUUUUAUAAGGGAAUAAAGUGCGGGACGUGUCCCGUUUUGUAUGUACCUUAUGAAUAAGGAUCGGCUAACUCCGUGCCAGCAGCCGCGGUAAUACGGAGGAUCCGAGCGUUAUCCGGAUUUAUUGGGUUUAAAGGGUGCGUAGGCGGCCUUUUAAGUCAGCGGUGAAAGCCUGUGGCUCAACCAUAGAAUUGCCGUUGAAACUGGGGGGCUUGAGUAUGUUUGAGGCAGGCGGAAUGCGUGGUGUAGCGGUGAAAUGCAUAGAUAUCACGCAGAACCCCGAUUGCGAAGGCAGCCUGCCAAGCCAUUACUGACGCUGAUGCACGAAAGCGUGGGGAUCAAACAGGAUUAGAUACCCUGGUAGUCCACGCAGUAAACGAUGAUCACUAGCUGUUUGCGAUACACUGUAAGCGGCACAGCGAAAGCGUUAAGUGAUCCACCUGGGGAGUACGCCGGCAACGGUGAAACUCAAAGGAAUUGACGGGGGCCCGCACAAGCGGAGGAACAUGUGGUUUAAUUCGAUGAUACGCGAGGAACCUUACCCGGGUUUGAACGCAUUCGGACCGAGGUGGAAACACCUUUUCUAGCAAUAGCCGUCUGCGAGGUGCUGCAUGGUCGUAGUCAGCUCGUGCCGUGAGGUGUCGGCUUAAGUGCCAUAACGAGCGCAACCCUUGCCACUAGUUACUAACAGGUAAAGCUGAGGACUCUGGUGGGACUGCCAGCGUAAGCUGCGAGGAAGGCGGGGAGGACGUCAAAUCAGCUCGGCCCUUACAUCCGGGGCGACACACGUGUUACAAUGGCGUGGACAAAGGGAAGC
Molecule: ribosomal RNA, 1225 nt
Filed under: uncultured organism
Description: SSU rRNA
Rfam family: Bacterial small subunit ribosomal RNA
Source: RNAcentral